GAUAAACGCUGGCGGCGUGCAUGAUACAUGCAAGUCGAACGAAGGAUCGGGCUUGCUCGAUCCUUAGUGGCGGACGGCUGAGUAACGCGUAGGUGACCUACCCCGAAGUGGGGAAUAACUGCCCGAAAGGGUGGCUAAUACCGCAUGUGGUCGCACGUUCAUUCGUGCGAGUAAAGCCGCAAGGCGCUUCGGGAGGGGCCUGCGUCCGAUUAGCUCGUUGGUGGGGUAAUGGCUUACCAAGGCGACGAUCGGUAGGGGGUCUGAGAGGACGAUCACACAGACUGGGACUGAGACACGGCACAGACUCCUCCGGGGGGGAGCAGUCGGGAAUUUUGCUAAAUGGGGGAAACCCUGAAGCAGCAACGCCGCGUGAGGGAUGAAGGCCUUCGGGUUGUAAACCUCUUUUGUCAGGGAAGAUGAUGACGGUACCUGGCGAAUAAGCCACGGCUAACUACGUG
This 458-nucleotide ribosomal RNA is filed under the name uncultured bacterium. RNAcentral's name for it is "partial 16S ribosomal RNA". It matches the Rfam family "Bacterial small subunit ribosomal RNA", at positions 28 to 507 of the family's 1533-position model. The record is from RNAcentral.